CUAUACCUUAAAUUCUUGUUCAUUUGCCAAGAAAAUGUUAUUGCAUCGCACUAGAAUUUUGUAACAGACAAAAGAGGAACGGAAGUCAAAACGGCCGAGUGUGUUUCUUUGUACACACCCUAGGAUAGGAUCUGCUUUGGGCCGGCUUUGCAUUUAUCUGGCUUAUGUCCUUGGCAGCUUCUUCCAACAGCCAAAAACUCUGGAUAAUAACUCACUGGAGCAUCCACACCCUUGCUAGCUAAACCCAAUCCUUAGCUCUAAUAGCUAGUGACAGUGGAAAAAAGUUGAACAUUGUUGCUCUCUAUUUGGCUAGUUAUACUAGCAAAAUGAACAGUACUCGCUAUAUAUAGCGAGUACUGUAGCACUCCUCAAUUGACUUUUAGAGAAAGCGCGAGAGAGGAGAAGAUUGCGGGGAAAAAAUGUACAUUGCAUCUGGGUUUUCUCUUUUGUUCUUGGCUUCAAGUUUCCUACCAAUCAACAUCAACAGUUCAACGAUGGCGAUCGUACAGUUCAUCUGGAUCCGUGGUGAUAGCGCAGUCGCACUUGCUCGGCAAAUAUUGGACAAGAUGGCAGGCAAAUGAAAGGCCCACGGUAAUGGGGUUCUCUAGAAGUCAAAUGGGUUAUAUUUUUUUCUGGGUAACCUUGAUUUCUGACAAAUAUGGACUUUUUCUUCAGAGGUCUAAACGAGGAUCCCACAACUCCUCAGCUAGACAUCCAUGGGCGUCUCUUUUUGAGAAACAUUAACGAGCACUAGUUUUUCGCAUUUCCUUUGAGACCCAGCAAAUUGUAUUGUUACUUGGAGCUUGUUUGGUGAAUAAAUGCUGAUUUUUAGACUGUUCCCAAA
Molecule: long non-coding RNA, 844 nt
Organism: Populus nigra (black poplar)
Lineage: Eukaryota; Viridiplantae; Streptophyta; Magnoliopsida; Malpighiales; Salicaceae
Exons: 2
Source: RefSeq, a predicted model, not a curated record